GACGUAGGGGGCAAGCGUUGCCCGGAUUUACUGGGCGUAAAGCGCGUGUAGGCGGUUCGUUAAGUCGGAUGUGAAAUCUCCGGGCUCAACCCGGAAACUGCACCCGAUACUGGCGAACUUGAGGACGGUAGAGGUCGGUGGAAUUCCCGGUGUACCGGUGAAAUGGAUAGAUAUCGGGAGGAACACCAGUGGCGAAGGCGGCCGACUGGGCCGAUCCUGACGCUGAGACGCGAAAGCCAGGGGAGCGAACCGG
This 253-nucleotide ribosomal RNA is filed under the name uncultured bacterium. RNAcentral describes it as "partial 16S ribosomal RNA". It matches the Rfam family "Bacterial small subunit ribosomal RNA", at positions 524 to 776 of the family's 1533-position model. The record is from RNAcentral.